RNAcentral lists this long non-coding RNA (6621 nucleotides) under Oreochromis niloticus (Nile tilapia). RNAcentral's name for it is "lncRNA (ENSONIG00000041206.1)". Lineage: Eukaryota; Metazoa; Chordata; Actinopteri; Cichliformes; Cichlidae. The record is from RNAcentral.
AUGGAACUGAAGAUGGAGGACACCAACCCAAAUAGACUGAAGGACAGCAAAAGGAUGGAUGCCAACACUGUCUGGCAAUGGCGGAUUAUGCACGUAAAAAAAUACUCAAGAAGCCCCGAACCAUUCCAUUACAGCAAUAAAAUUGGAUUAGAUUUUAAUGUUGGAUCCACGGCACAGAAACUGGAUUUACAAUUACUGACAAACGGGGUCAUGCUUGAAAUCUGUGACUUUGCUAAAAUGGUUACAAAGGGUAAAAGCCACUUUAUCAUGAACAUUCUGGAGAACAAUUUUGAUCUUGGUUUGGAAAAUGAGCAACAACGGAUUCAUUUUAGAGCUCAGAUUUCACACAAGCUCAAGGACCUGAUGAGGAGGCCUCCUAAAGAAAAACUUGACAUUGCUGCUCUUUUUGGUUCUUCUUUUGUACCAGUGUGGGCCAGAAGCAUCAAAAAAGAACCAAAUGCAGGAGCAGAUUGUCAGUAUUUCAGUUUCCAGGUGAAGAAAGAAGAUAAUGGUACACAUACAAGCAAAAUUCCUUGUUCACAAACAUCUGAAAAAAAGAUUGACCGACUACAUGCUGAUGUCAGCGAUGAUGAAGAGGAAAUUGAGUGCUUAGGGGCGCAGUUAAAAGAAGAAAUCAGAGGAGAUGUUCUCCCCUUUUCAUACCCUUACUGUGAAGAAAUUGGUUUGCGCUUUGAAAGUGGUGCAAAACAAAGCCUUGAUCCAGGUUUAUUGACAAAUGGUAUGAUGGUAGAACUGGUAGACUUUACUAGAGUACUGAUUGCAUCCUACAGCUCUAUUAUUCUCAGUGUCCUGAAGCAUAAUUUUGAACUUGACCUUCAAAAUCAACAGGACAAAAAGCAAGUUUUGUUCAGCGUGUCCCAACUGUUGAAAAGGAGAAAAAAACUUAAGACCACUGGUACUAAAAUAAGUCCACAUUUUAAGAAUGAGCUGUUUUCCUUUGAGACAAAUCCCUUUAAAAGAGCUCCAGCACAGCUGACUAUGGAAGAACUUUUAUACGAGAGCUUGAAGAAAAGAAGAAAGUAUAAUUCAAAAGCAAAUAUGCAAAAUGAAUGUGACAUGGAAGAAGAGACAAUGGAAACAGAAAGUAACAUGUGGAAGCUGCGUGCUAACCGUGUGAAACAAAUCCUGUUGGUACUAGACAAAGAGUACUGUACAUUCUUCAGGCCCAAUAAAGCAAAUUUGGAAUUCAAUAUUGGGUUUGGGCCCAAGAAAAACUUGAGUGGUGACUAUCUGACCAAUUCUGUUCUGUAUAAAGUUGCUCGAUUUGCCUUGGCAGUGAAUUCAUCCCAGCAGGAAUUCAUCAUGGAGAUUCUUGAGAAGAACUUUGACUUAGGCCUGAAGAACAAAUCUUAUAAACCUGCCUUUGCAUGUGAACUCAUGAGUAGAAUAAGACAGCUUCAGAAAUGCGAGGAUCCGGUCAAAUUCUCUAAAGAAGUUUUUGAACUUCCUCGUCCUGUUCCGUCAUUCAGAAUGACAUCUCAGAGAAUGGACAUUGUUGGCCCAGACCUCAGCAGCAGAUCGAAUGUGAAGGAAUCUGAUAUUGCUCCUUCAAAUUCUCCUGACUCACAAGCUGAAACUAAACUAAGUCCAAAUGUUGUAACUACAACUGAGUUACCAGUCCAUCUACAUGAAACUGAACCCAAGCCACAUACUGAAACCAAACCUGAAAUAAAGUCAGAGAAAAAUGUCCAUCCUUAUCACUUCUGCAAGGAGAUUGGUCUGAAACUUCAUGUCAGCUGCAGUCAACAAAAACACAAACUUGACAUCAGCAAACUGACCAAAGGAGCAAUGAUGGAAGUAACAAACUUUGCCGAAAAGUUGUGUGGAACAUUUGAGCAGAUUUGCCUGGACGUUCUCAGACACAACUUUGAGCUUGAUUUGCAAAGUGUCGAUUCUGAACUUGCAAGAAAUAUCCUUGGACACAUUCCGGCUGCAAAUGAGGAAAGAAAUCUUGUGACCCGUGUAACCCAUGGGAAAUCGAAGCACCCAAAAAGAGAUUACCCAAUUCUCCCGACACUGAAUUGCCAGAAUAACCCAAAUACAGAAGCAUGUAGAGCUGAUUCUACUGAGGAAAAUAUACACAAAGAUGUAAGCAGUACCACUGACCCUGAACAACAAGAUGACCUCAACUCAGCGCUGUGGAAAUUGAGGCGUAUUCAAAUUCAGCACAUCCUCUCAGUACCUCAUGGAGAACACUGCCCACUUUAUUCUUACUCUAGAUGUAAGAAAUUGGGCAUCGACUUUAAUGUAGGAUCUGGAGUAAAACUAAAUCUUGACCCAAAGUUACUUACCAAUGGCAUCAUGGUUGAAGUUAACACGUUUGCCGAAGCAAUGUUGUCAUCUACAAAAGAUUUCAUCACAGCGAUCCUGGAGUACAACUUUGAUCUAAAUUUGAACAGCGAGGCAAGUCGCAAUGCCUUUGGAAAGAAGCUUAUGCGAAACUCUGGAGCAAUGAAGACAAAGAAACUAGCUGCAUCUCAGAAGAAAAUACUUUUUCAACUGCCUGACUCAAAAUCUGUAGAUGAAUAUACUCCAUAUUGCCCCAAAUGUUAUCAAGAUAGAAUUAAGCGUCGUCAAGAUAAAUCGCAGUCCGGUCGCGUCCCUGAGCAGCCCCAAACUGGGUCAGAUGUUUGUGCUGAUGCAAAGGCAGAAAGUACUCAAAAUGAUCGAACCUCUAUUUCUGCAGCAACAAGAAAGACUAUAAUGAGCUGUUACCCCUCAUGCAGGAAAAUGGGUUUAAGACUGCGCGUGAGUAAAGCACACCGUAAACGUAAACUCGAAACACGUGCUUUGACCUGGGGUGUUAUGUGUGAGGUUUAUUCUUUUGCCAGGAAACUGAGUGGAACAAAGCAUAAACUUGUCAAUGAUAUUCUUGAGCACAACUUCAACUUGGACAAACAGACUCUAGACCUCAAUCCUUCAAUGUUGUUCUGUAGAGUACAGCCACGAGAAGGAGAGCAUGCCUGGUUCAAUGAUGUUUUUGUUAUUCAGGCACCUCGCAAAUGUCCUGUUAUUGGGGUUAAAAGGGAAGGACAAUCCAGCACGCAGACAAAUGAAUGGAAGGAAACGAUCAGAAAAAGACAGCUGGACAUGCAGGCAAAGAAGAAAAGGGCCAUGGUGGCAAGUGAUUAUGCCAUGGAUAAUGUAGGAAAGAUUGGAUUUGAUGAAAUGGGUUUGAGUCUAGACGAAACAGUAGGAGGGGACUAUUGCUACAUGUGUCCUAUAGAAGCAGACACACUCACAGAUUCAGAAAACAGCGGGAAUGAGGAUGACAUAGAAAACCCAAAAUCAUCUCGCCUCUCUGCUCCUUUCCAUACCACCACCGAUAGUUCCUUCAGUUCAGCAGUUGUAGACACAGAUAUGGACCCGCCAUCUCCAAGUCAGCCAGAUGAAAGUGGGCUGCUAGAAUAUGAAGAGGAGGAAGAGAUUCCAACGGAUGUGCCAAAUGAAUUUGACAUGAAAGAAGAGGAAAUGGAAAUGGAGAGUAACAUGUGGAAGCUGCGUACUCACCGUGUGAAACAAAUCCUCCUAGUCCUAGACAAAGAGUACUGUCCAUUCUUCAGGCCCAAGAAAGUUAACCUAGAAUUCAAUAUUGGGUUUAGGCCCAAGAAAAAUUUGAGUGCUGACUGUCUGACCAAUUCUGUUCUGUAUAAAGUUGCUCGGUUUGCCUUGGCAAUGAGUUCAUCCCAGCAGGAAUUCAUCAUGGAGAUUCUUGAGAAGAACUUUGCGUUAGACCUAGAGAGCAAAAGCCACAGAUACACCAUUGCAUGUGAACUGAUGAAUAAAAUAAGGCAGCUUCAGGAAUGUGAAGAUCCAGUCAAAUUCUCAAAAGAGGUAUUUAAACUCCCUGAUUCCUGCAUGAACAGCAGCAUAUCAAGAUUGGAUGAGUCUGAUGUUGAACCCUCACACCCCCCUGAUUCAGAUGGUGAAACUAAACCAGAUCCACAUGUGUCAACUAUACCAGGUUUACCAGCUGGUCCACCUAAAACAGUAUCCGAGGAAAGUGUGAACCUGUAUCCCUUCUCCAAGGAGAUUGGUCUGAAGUUGCAUGUAAGCUGCAGUCAACAGAAAAACAAACUUGAUGUCAACAAACUGACCAAAGGAGCAAUGAUGGAAGUGACAAACUUUGCUAAAAAGUUGUGUGGGACAUUUGAGCAGAUUUGUCUGGACGUUCUCAGACACAACUUUGAGCUUGAUUUGCAAAACGUCAAUUCUGAACUUGCUAGACAUGUUCUUGCACAAAUUCCUGUUGCAAAUGAUCAUAGAAAUGUGGCAACCUGGGUAGCCCAAGCAAAGCAAAAGAACACACGAAGAGAUUAUCCAAUAGUCAUGAAACUGAAUUGCCAAUACAAGCCAGAUGCAGAAAUAUGUAAUGCUGCAUCUACUCGAGCAGUCAAGCACCAAAAUGUAAGCAAUUCCACUGACAAGCAACAAAAUGACCUAAAUUCAGUUCUAUGGAGAUUGCGGAUCAAUCAGAUUCAACGCAUCUUCUCAGUGCCUCAUGGAGAACAUUGCCCACUGUAUUCUUACUCCAGGUGUAAGAAAUUGGACAUGGAUUUUAAUGUCGGAUUUGGAGUAAAGCAAAAUCUGGACCCAAAGUUACUGACCAACGGCGUCAUGGUAGAAGUUAACACAUUUGCCGAAGCAAUGCUGUCAUCCACAAAAGAUUUCAUCAUGGAGAUCCUGGAGUAUAACUUUGAUCUAAAUUUGAACAGUGAGCUAUUUCACAUUGCCUUCGCAGAGCAGCUCAUGCAAACCAUUACAACACUGAAGUCAAAAAAAUUCAGCCUGCCUCAAAAGAAAAAGCUUUUUAAACUCCCUCAGUCAGUUUUCAUAGAGGAAUAUACUCCAGAUUGCCCCAAAUGUCAUCAAGAUAAAAAUGGCAAGCUUGUCCAGGAUGAAUCUUACUCUGGUAAUGUGCUUCACCAGCCUCUUGCCGUGACCAGUGUCAUCUCUACUAAUGCAAGCAGCACGGUAAAAAAGCCUCCAGAUGAUCAAACCUCUUCUUCUUCUGCAUCAGUAGAAACAAUAUUGAACACUUACCCUCUCUGCAAGAAAAUAGGUUUAAGCCUAUGUGUGGACAAAGCUCACCCAAAACUUAAACUCGACACAUGUGUUUUGACAUGGGAGGUCAUGUGCGAGGUGUAUUCUUUUGCCAGGAAACUGUGUGGGACAAAGCACAAGCUUGUCAAUGAUGUUCUUGAGCACAACUUCAGCUUGGACAAGCAGAGUCUAGACAUGAAUCCUUCAGUGCAGUUCUACAGAGUGAAUCCACAUGAUGGAGAGCCCGCCUGGUUCAGCGAAGUUUUUAUUAUUCAGCCACCUCGCACAUUUCAAGUCAUUGAGAGUACAGAGGAAGAGCUACCCACUGUGCAGAGAAAUGAAUGGAAGGAAACGGUUCGAAAAAGACAACUGGAAAUGCAAGCAAAGAAGGAAAGAGCCAUGCUGUUACGUAAUACUCUGAGUGCUGUGACAUUAACAAAGAAUAAGCAGAAAAAUCUCUAUCCUAUUUGCAAGAAAAUAGGUCUGGACCUUGAUGUUUCAUCAAAAUCAGCGGACAAAAAAAAGCUGAACUUGAAGUUACUGACAUCAUCAGUGCUGUUGGAAAUACAGAAAUUUGCAGCAACGAAAAGGAACCAGUAUUUCCCGGCUAUUUUGUUUGACAUCCUAGACUAUAACUUUGAGAUUAGCUCACAGCAUCACAAGCGCUGGGAAUUUUCAAUCGCUGCUGCAACCAAAUUCCAUUCGAUGAUCAGACAGUAUCGAAAUACUGGAAUAGAAAAGAUCUUCAAGUUACCAUUUCUGUCUGGACCCAAAUUCCCACAGAGCUCAACACAAAAUCUGCAAAAUGAUAAAAGUGCUCAUAGAGUGGAUGGAAACCAAUGUGUGCAGCCAGCAACAUACCAUGCAAUCCAAAUGCAGCCAGUGACAAUAAUGCAGAUGAAUGUUAACCCUAUGAACAUCCCUACGAUUACCUCAAUUUUUACACCUAUGAUUACCUCUGUAAUCAACCCUAUGGUUACCCCUGUGAUUAACCCAACAAUUACCCCAAUUUUUACACCUGCAGUUACCACCAUUAAUACCCCUAUGAUUGCCCCCAUGAGCACCUCUACACUUACCCCCAUGAAUACCCCUACGAUUACCUCCAUCAGUACCACCACAACUGUAGGUUGUGACGGUUUUCUUCCAGGAAACCUCCAAAUUAAAGAGGAGGAAGAUGAUCCACGUUAUGGCAAUAUGCCAUCACUGGAUGUUGAAACAAACUAUCACCAAGGUAAUGAUGAUGUCAGAACUGACUCAAACACUGAGGCUGCCAAGAAUUUAGUCCCAGGUCAUCCUGCAGGAUCCCUUGGGCAUACCGCAUGUCCAACCUCUGAAAGCAAUAAUGGAAGCAAGUCAUCACAGCCCUCUGAUGGAUGUGUGCAAACUGCAUCUUUAAGUAGUGAGACUGUCAUAAAAACAGAGUCGGACACUGAGGGAUACAUGGAUUACUACAUGGUAACUGUAGGUCAGGACACUGAGAUAAAAGAGGAGCAGGAACAUGUGCCAGCUGGAAGUGCAGAAAGUGAAGUGGAUAUUAAACAGGAAUGUGAGUGUUAA